AUCCAACUGACGAGUCCUAAACAGGACAAAACGCGCGUCUUGGAU
Molecule: non-coding RNA, 45 nt
Filed under: Schistosoma margrebowiei
Lineage: Eukaryota; Metazoa; Platyhelminthes; Trematoda; Strigeidida; Schistosomatidae
Source: RNAcentral